GACGAACGCUGGCGGCGUGCUUAACACAUGCAAGUCGAACGGAAAGGCCCUUGCUUGCAGGGGUACUCGAGUGGCGAACGGGUGAGUAACACGUGGGUGAUCUGCCUUGUACUUCGGGAUAAGCCUGGGAAACUGGGUCUAAUACCGGAUAGGACCAUGCUUAGUGUGUGUGGUGGAAAGUUUUUUCGGUACAAGAUGAGCCCGCGGCCUAUCAGCUUGUUGGUGGGGUAAUGGCCUACCAAGGCGACGACGGGUAGCCGGCCUGAGAGGGUGUACGGCCACAUUGGGACUGAGACACGGCCCAG
Molecule: ribosomal RNA, 305 nt
Filed under: uncultured bacterium
Lineage: Bacteria
Description: bacterial SSU rRNA
Rfam family: Bacterial small subunit ribosomal RNA
Source: RNAcentral